UUCAGCUUGAGAAGCAGAACGGAUAGGAGCGGAGCGAUCAGUCCUUUGAUCACCUUGAGAACCCUGGCAGCAAAAGGAGCACACCAGGCGUUAACCAAGGUACAUACACAGCUCAUGCUGGACUUGCUUUGAGUUAAUAUACUAGAACAAGCCCCAAGCAGGCUACUGGGCUUGGAUCCUAGAGGUGUCACCAUAGACUAUGGAAAUGAUGUCAGACAAAAAGCGAAUUUGAGUGACUUUCUUAUUCGAGUUCAAAAUAGGUCGUAAAGCAGUGGAGACAACUUGCAAUAUCAACAAUGCAUUUGGCCCAGGAACUGCUAAUGAACGUACAGUGCAGUGGUGGUUCAAGAAGCUUUGCAAAGGAGACAAGGGCCUUGAAGAUGAGGAGCAUAGUGGCUGACCAUUGGAAGUUGACAACGACUACUUGAGAGCAGUCAUCAAACUGAUUGUCUUACGACUACACGAGAAGUUGCUGAAGAAUUCAACAUCAACCAUUCUACAGUCGUUCUGCAUUUGAAGCAAAUUGGAAAGGUGAAAAAACUCGCUAAGUGGGUGCCUCAUGAGCCGAGCAAAAAAAAAAUUGUUGUGUGGAAGCGUCGUCUUCUCUUAUUCUAUGCAAUAACAGUGAACCAUUUCUCGGUCGGAUUGUGACGUGCGACGAAAACUGAAUUUUAUAUGACAAUCAGUGACAACCAGCUCAGCUGUUGGACUGAGAAGCUCCAAAGUCAAACUUGCAAAAAAAAAAAAAA
Nomascus leucogenys (northern white-cheeked gibbon) is the source of this 749-nucleotide long non-coding RNA. RefSeq lists it as uncharacterized. The transcript has 3 exons. The record is from RefSeq and is a predicted model, not a curated record. NCBI's taxonomy places the organism in Eukaryota, Metazoa, Chordata, Mammalia, Primates, Hylobatidae.